Molecule: long non-coding RNA, 402 nt
Organism: Cebus imitator (Panamanian white-faced capuchin)
Lineage: Eukaryota; Metazoa; Chordata; Mammalia; Primates; Cebidae
Exons: 4
Source: RefSeq, a predicted model, not a curated record
GGGAGAAGCUGAAUAUGAGCUGGCAGCUAAAAAAUUUGUAAAGAAAUCAACUCGCUCAUUUUCAUUGUACAUUUUUUCUCUAAAGCAUUGUCCACAAACUGUGUGUUGAUUCAUGCCCUAAGCCAGAUGUUGACGACUUGACUGUUACCACCAAGUGUGUCCGCAAGAAAAUGUCAGAGCCUUUACCUAGACCUUCCAAUGGGAAAAAUAUAUAUAGUCAAUGUAAAAGGAGAAGGGCCUCCUGAAUAACAUCCUUCUUUGAAGCCUACCACUGAAAUGGAAGAUCCUGUUGUGAGAGAAGCAGUACAAAGAAUGUACAGACAUCGAGAGCAGGUACAUUUUCAAUACAAAUGGAAUGCUGGAAAUAAGUACAUGAAAUGAUUGGAAGUACUCACAUUCUUC